GUUAGGCAAUUCCUUCAUUUUGUUCUAUUCCAUGCCUCAUGUGUUCGAGUUCUGUCAAUGUUAGGUUCCCUUUGUUUUUGUGAUUGUCAAAUGUUUUGUUCUUUCUCUUUGUUCAUUUUUUUUUGGCUCAGGUGUUUGUUUUGUUUGGUGGUGUACAGCGUGCACGCUGGUUAUUCUGUUUUUCGCUCAGGCGUUUGUUUUGUUUGGUGGUGUUCAGUGUUUUUUCAAUUUUUUUUGGGUUUGUGUUACAUUUUCGUGACAUAGCAGAGGAAGAGACAGAACAGUGGCAGAGUCAGAGGCAGAGCAACCAAGGGCAAUUUCUUCUUCCAGGUGGAAUCAACAUUUGAAUUUGCACACGUUUGUAGGAAUCUGGAUUUCCACAACUUUGUCUUCUGGAUGAAAGAAAGCAACCCUGUAAUCGUAGUCCAGGCAUACUGUUUGCUUGUUGCAGAGAUGAAUGUCCUAGGAUGGGAUUAUCCAUUGCAUUUGGGAGUUACUGAAGCUGGUGAAGGUGAAGAUAGGUGAAUGAAAUCUGCAAUUGGCAUUGGAACACUGUUACAGAUGGUUUGGGUGAUACAAUUCGGGUUUCCCUUACAGAACCUCCAGAAGAGGAGAUAGAUACAUGCAGAAGACUUGCAAAAUUUGGGAUGCAAGCUGCCAAGCUUGAGAAAGGAGUGGCUCCUUUUGAGGAGAAGCACCACCACUAUUUUAAUUUCCAGCGGAGAACCAGUCAACCUCCCAUACAGAAGGAGGGUGGCAGAUUGCAAGCUCACAACCCUUCUUGUUCCAGCCAAAAAAGCUGCAGUUUAAUAAGAAGUAUACUAAGCAACUUUUUGAACUA
This is a long non-coding RNA of Cryptomeria japonica (Japanese cedar), 841 nucleotides long. RefSeq lists it as uncharacterized. The record is from RefSeq and is a predicted model, not a curated record. Lineage: Eukaryota; Viridiplantae; Streptophyta; Pinopsida; Cupressales; Cupressaceae. The transcript has 5 exons.